GACGAACGCUGGCGGCGUGCUUAACACAUGCAAGUCGAACGAUGACGACCGAGCUUGCUCGGUCUGAUUAGUGGCGAACGGGUGAGUAACACGUGAGCAACCUGCCCUUCACUCUGGGAUAACCUCGGGAAAUCGGGGCUAAUACCGGAUAUGAGCUCCUGUCGCAUGGCGGGUGUUGGAAAGUUUUUCGGUGAAGGAUGGGCUCGCGGCCUAUCAGUUUGUUGGUGAGGUAGUGGCUCACCAAGGCGAUGACGGGUAGCCGGCCUGAGAGGGCGACCGGCCACACUGGGACUGAGACACGGCCCAGACUCCUACGGGAGGCAGCAGUGGGGAAUAUUGCACAAUGGGCGAAAGCCUGAUGCGGCGACGCCGCGUGAGGGAUGACGGCCUUCGGGUUGUAAACCUCUUUCAGCAGGGAAGAAGCGAAAGUGACGGUACCUGCAGAAGAAGCGCCGGCUAACUACGUG
RNAcentral lists this ribosomal RNA (467 nucleotides) under uncultured bacterium. RNAcentral describes it as "partial 16S ribosomal RNA". It matches the Rfam family "Bacterial small subunit ribosomal RNA", at positions 28 to 507 of the family's 1533-position model. The record is from RNAcentral.